Molecule: long non-coding RNA, 1806 nt
Filed under: Volvox carteri
Lineage: Eukaryota; Viridiplantae; Chlorophyta; Chlorophyceae; Chlamydomonadales; Volvocaceae
Description: long non-coding RNA (VCAR_LNC002810)
Source: RNAcentral
ACAAGCAAAGCUGUCGUGCUCAAAUGGAGCGCGCUCAAAUGGAUGUUCAGCGACAUGUUGACAACGCCACACACAAGCAACUCCACAGACUAAAGCGGGUGAUGCGCAUAUAGACGUGUACAUGAUAUUUGAGGACAUGACCUGGUGUAUGGUCCCUUUCCUCUAAGCGGCCGCACAGCCACGGGCGGCUAAUGUCCAGACACACCAUCGAACAUCAAAACCGCCUGGCAAACUGUGCUUAAUCAAGCGACAUAGCAUAUCAAAGUGCGGCAUCCUCGAUAUGCAUUCGAUUACAGCGCAUACAAUGUCGAAAAAGCCGACAACAACUCAGAGCGGCACAGGCACCGGCUCAUACAACGGCUCGUACAACCACUCCAACCAGCGAACAAACAUUCCAAAUCGCGACGCGACAGCAUCUCACGCAGCUGUAAUAUCGUGAACAACGGAAAAGAAAAACAGCUUGUCCAUGCAUUCCGCCUACCGUUUCCAUAGCUUCAGUUCCCAACGCAGCCAUCAGAAACGCGACCAUGCAACGAAGUGUGUCAACGCAUGCGCGGCGAAGAAAUCUGUAGCACCAGGCGUCAUAAAAAGGUGUGAAGGCAGCGCGCACGUUGGUUGCUCCGUGUGUGUGUGCGCGCGUAGUCCACCGCAGUGUGUACGCGACCUCCGCACCGCACCCAUACAUGGCUUCCACGCGAUGCCCCAACCGCCCAAUCGGCAUAUCUUCGCUAAGAACCCUCAUACCAAAGCCAGCACCGAGGCACGGCCCAUACGUUCAUGAAUUAAACAUAAUUAUUCUACCUGCUACCGUCCCCUAUGUAAAAGCCCUAUGGACAACAAACCAUAUAAGCCCCCCUUUCCCCCUUUUGGCAGAUGGACUGCAGCAACAGCAAACCAGCAUUCGUGGGCAGCGAGAGGAGCGAUAGCAUACAUAUAUGAGGUAAGGUGGGCCUGCUGGCAACACAAGAAAUAGGAUGCCAUAGCAUCUGUCCUGGGGCUACCGUCAGGGGGGAUGGGUAAACAUUGAAGUGGAGACCGAGGUGAAGCGGGUUGGUUAUGAGGGCGGGUUUCAGGGUAUCACGUUGGCCCUCCCCUGCGGCCCCCUAGCCUAAUGCCGUCCUCCCCUGCGGCCCCGCCUAGCCUAACGCUGUCCUCCCCUGCGGCCUCCCAGCCCAACACCGUCCUCCCCUGCGGCCCCCUAGCCUAACGCCGUCCUCCCCUGCGGCCCCCCUAGCCUAACGCCGUCCUCCCCUGCGGCCCCCUAGCCUAACGUCAUCCUCCCCUGCGGCCCCCUAGCCCACCACUGUCCUCCCCUGCGGCCCCCUAGCCCAAUGCUGUCCUCCCCUGCGGCCCCCUAGCCCAACGCCGUCCUCCCCUGCGGCCCCCUAGCCUAAUGCCAUCCUCCCCUGCAGCCCCCUAGCCUAACGCCGUCCUCCCCUGCGUGGGUGUGGGUGUUUGUGGGUGCUUUUGCUGAUGUUGUUGGCAGGCCAUGCAUGCAAAAAAAGCGACACACACCGCACGAAGUGCCUGCAAGGCAGCAUGGGACCAGACUCACCUUUGCGACCUAAAAUGAGGCGUGUGCGGGUAUCUCACCGAAGGCGGAGAGACUGCCGCAUACAACCAGACAUUCGAUGGUUUUCAUACAUUCGCAAAAAAUUCCGGACAUGAGACCGCACACAACAAUGUGGCAAUGUACACGAAAUUUAAAAUGUGGAACAAUGCUUAAUGUUGGAGUGUGCUGACCGCCUCGCAAAUAUAAGCAGCUGACAUGUACGGUUUGCAGCGAAGAUGAAGGAUCCAACUGCC